ACUCCUACGGGAGGCAGCAGUGGGGAAUAUUGCACAAUGGGCGCAAGCCUGAUGCAGCCAUGCCGCGUGUGUGAAGAAGGCCUUCGGGUUGUAAAGACUUUCAGUCGUGAGGAAGGGUAGUGUAGUUAAUAGCUUGCUAUCAUUUUGAACGUUAGCGACAGAAGAAGCACCGGCUAACUCCGUGCCAGCAGCCGCGGUAAUACGGAGGGUGCGAGCGUUAAUCGGAAUUACUGGGCGUAAAGCGCAUGCAGGUGGCUUUGUUAAGUCAGAUGUGAAAGCCCGGGGCUCAACCUCGGAAUUGCAUUGAAC
RNAcentral lists this ribosomal RNA (309 nucleotides) under uncultured bacterium. RNAcentral describes it as "bacterial SSU rRNA". It matches the Rfam family "Bacterial small subunit ribosomal RNA", at positions 335 to 632 of the family's 1533-position model. The record is from RNAcentral.